CCAGCAACUGCUGGCCUGUGCCAGGGUGCAAGCUGAGCACUGGAGUGGAGUUUUCCUGUGGAGGAAAGAUGAGUGAGAGCAUCAACUUCUCUGACAACCUAGGCCAGUAAGUACCAGGUGUGUGGUGAUGCCAGGCAUGCCCUUCCCCAGCAUCAGGUCUCCAGAGCUGCAGAAGACGACGGCCGACUUGGAUCACAAGCCCAGGCCAGGGGCCCCCAAGAAAGGCUCUGGUGGAGAACCUGUGCAUGAAGGCUGUCAACCAGUCCAUAAGGCAGGGCCAUCAGGCACCAAAGGGAUUCUGCCAGCAUAGUGCUCCUGGAUUAGUGAUACACCCGGCACCCUGUCCUGGACAAGCUGUUGGCCUGGAUCUGAGCCCU
RNAcentral lists this long non-coding RNA (377 nucleotides) under Homo sapiens (human). RNAcentral describes it as "non-protein coding lnc-DOCK8-7:3". The record is from RNAcentral. Lineage: Eukaryota; Metazoa; Chordata; Mammalia; Primates; Hominidae.